This 482-nucleotide ribosomal RNA is filed under the name uncultured bacterium. RNAcentral describes it as "SSU rRNA". It matches the Rfam family "Bacterial small subunit ribosomal RNA", at positions 26 to 523 of the family's 1533-position model. The record is from RNAcentral.
AGGACGAACGCUGGCGGCGUGCUUAACACAUGCAAGUCGAACGGAAAGGCCCGCUUGCGGGUACUCGAGUGGCGAACGGGUGAGUAACACGUGGGCAACCUGCCCUCAGCUUCGGGAUAACACUUGGAAACAGGUGCUAAUACUGGAUAAUAACCUUUCAUCGCAUGGUGUGGGGUUCAAAGUUUUUCGGCUGGGGAUGGGCCCGCGGCCUAUCAGCUUGUUGGUGGGGUAAUGGCCUACCAAGGCGACGACGGGUAGCCGGCCUGAGAGGGCGACCGGCCACACUGGGACUGAGACACGGCCCAGACUCCUACGGGAGGCAGCAGUGGGGAAUAUUGCGCAAUGGGCGGAAGCCUGACGCAGCGACGCCGCGUGAGGGAUGACGGCCUUCGGGUUGUAAACCUCUUUCAGCUCUGACGAAGCGCAAGUGACGGUAGGAGCAGAAGAAGCACCGGCCAACUACGUGCCAGCAGCCGCGGUAA